Long non-coding RNA from Leptidea sinapis, 1030 nucleotides. RefSeq lists it as uncharacterized. Lineage: Eukaryota; Metazoa; Arthropoda; Insecta; Lepidoptera; Pieridae. The record is from RefSeq and is a predicted model, not a curated record. The transcript is spliced from 2 exons.
ACUGAAGUUGUUGCUCUGUUACCGGUGUUUUUUUGUAGUUCUAAACUUUCGAGAUAAAUAUAUUUUUUUAAAACUAUUUGAGCUAGUUCAGUUAUAUUACGGCAUAUUAGUUAUUUCUUGAGACGUUACAUAAAGAUAACAUCUAUUUUUGGACAACGCCGCGUGAUUACCAAACUAGUCGAAACACAAAUUAUAAAAAAUAUGACGAUUCUGUAAUAGAAAUGGCACUACAUGAGUACAAUAGCUCUAACCUUUCCUUUAAAGAUGUUUCACGGAAAUACGAUAUACCGAAAUCAGUCCUGCAUCGACACAACACCCGUGUCAUGAAAAAGCAAGGAGGCCAAACUGCCCUAAGACGGGCUGAAGAAGCGUACUUAGUAGAGUACGUAAAUGUAUGUUCAGAAUGGGGAUAUCCUCUAGAACCCAUUGAUUUAAGAUUCCUAAUAAAACAAUACCUGGAUAAAAUGGGAGUUGAUAUCAAAAGGUUCAAAAAUAAUUUGCCAGGUCCCGAUUUUAUGUCAUGUUUUCUUAAAAGGCAUAAAAAUAAAAUUAGCAAAAGACUCAGUCAAAAUACAAAGAGAGCAAAGAGCAGCCGUUUCACCAGAAACCAUCGAUGAAUAUUUUAGAAAACUUGAAACGUCUCUUCGAGGCACACCACCUGCUAACAUUGUUAAUUACGAUGAGACCAACCUCAGCGAUGACCCAGGAUGUUAGAGUGCUGGUUAAGAGAACAGUCAAAUACCCUGAAAGGGUAAUGAACCAUAUAAAGGGUGCCACAUCUCUUAUGAUGACUUCUGCAGCCGACGGCACUCUUCUACCCCCAUACGUUGUAUAUAAAUUGCAAAAUAUGUACGAUACGUGGCGGUUAUAAUAAAAUUGGAUCUAAAAUUUUUAUGGGUGAUAACCUGGCCUCUUAUUUAUACUUAAUAUAAUAAUUAAUAUGUUAUUACUUUAAGUAUAGUAUGUUGAUUAAAAAAAGAUUUUAAUACUUCUAUAAUGUUGAUUAUUACAGUGAUUUUAUAUUUUUGAA